GGGGAUUUAGCUGAGUGGCAUAAGCGCCUGCCUGGCAAGUGCGAGGUGGUGAGUUCAAUCCCCA
Molecule: transfer RNA, 64 nt
Filed under: Cavia porcellus (domestic guinea pig)
Lineage: Eukaryota; Metazoa; Chordata; Mammalia; Rodentia; Caviidae
Rfam family: tRNA
About the family: Transfer RNA (tRNA) molecules are approximately 80 nucleotides in length.
Source: Rfam by way of RNAcentral